This 22-nucleotide ribosomal RNA is filed under the name Meconopsis racemosa. RNAcentral describes it as "partial 18S ribosomal RNA". Lineage: Eukaryota; Viridiplantae; Streptophyta; Magnoliopsida; Ranunculales; Papaveraceae. The record is from RNAcentral.
CCUUAGCGACUGCGGAGGACAU